GAUCAUGGCUCAGGAUGAACGCUGGCGGCGUGCCUAACACAUGCAAGUCGAACGGAAUUUACAUGAAGCCUAGCGAUUGUAAAUUUAGUGGCGGACGGGUGAGUAACGCGUGGGUAACCUGCCUUGUACUGGGGGACAACAGUUGGAAACGACUGCUAAUACCGCAUAAGCGCACAGCUUCGCAUGAAGCAGUGUGAAAAACUACCGGUGGUACAAGAUGGACCCGCGUCUGAUUAG
RNAcentral lists this ribosomal RNA (237 nucleotides) under uncultured bacterium. RNAcentral describes it as "partial 16S ribosomal RNA". It matches the Rfam family "Bacterial small subunit ribosomal RNA", at positions 15 to 244 of the family's 1533-position model. The record is from RNAcentral.